This is a long non-coding RNA of Lolium rigidum, 2217 nucleotides long. RefSeq lists it as uncharacterized. The transcript is spliced from 7 exons. The record is from RefSeq and is a predicted model, not a curated record. NCBI's taxonomy places the organism in Eukaryota, Viridiplantae, Streptophyta, Magnoliopsida, Poales, Poaceae.
GGCGCGCCACUUUGGGGCGGAGCAGUCAGGGGCCAGCGGCGAAGGAAAACGGUGGUGGCCGAAUCAAGAAGAAGACAACAGGUUAAAGCUCUCACACACACACAUGUCGAAUGUUCGGAAGCACAAAAUUCUGGUUGCAAAUAUCUUUGCCUCCGUCGAGUCGUUGAGGUAACUCACGCGGGCGGCCGGACGUUGUCGAGCCACGGCCUGCUCCAGCAAGACACGCCUCUGUGUGGUUGGCAUCCGCGGCGGACAUCUCGCGGCACACUUCAGCGUACGCCAUGGCUGAACACAAAGGCGCCAAGAGAUAGCUGCUACAUCAUGGCUAAAUAAUCUGAAAUCUAACUGUGUAGAGCAAAUCCAAUGAUCAGUGCUGUCUGGGGAUGAAAAGGGGCGUGCAUCAGUUCUACAGAAUGCUGAUAAGUACCAGAAGGUAAGGAAGAGAAUGGCAUGAAGGAAAUUUCGUACAUGCCAGUUUGCAAAAGAACUAAUACUUAGGUUAACCGAAUCUGGCUUCUUUGUUGUCUUAACCAAUUAGAGAAGUUGGAAAGUUCUAGCCAAGGUUUUCGCAGAGGACAAAGGCAUCCAACACAAUUCAGCCACUGCAGUGCUUGGGCAGAAGAGGAGGAGCUGUCUGGGUGGUGUUGAUGUGGUCUUGGGGCUCAGAGAAAGUGAAUACGUCAUUUUGGACGGCUCUGAGAUAAAUUUCAUGACCACGUGUUUCAGAUGGGAGGUAUUUCUAAUAAAGAGGUAUGUAGAAGGUCUUGCUUUGAUCUUUAUAUCCUAUAAUUUAUUAAUUUUGUUACGGGAGGUAAACCAUUAUUAUUCCACCUCCAGUCGAUCUAUGUGUCCUUAGGUCUCAGUAUAACCACAUAUAAGUUAGGUGUGUGCCUUAGUUUGAUAGCUAUGCAUAAAACUAAAGGACCCAAUGUGGCAAACCUGUAGGUUUAUUUGAACUGCAUAAACACAUAAAGUGAGAUUUGUGGUUUUGAUUCAGCGGUUCAUGGGACCCACAGUUUUACCUUUUUUAGGUACAUUGUUUAUUAGUUACAACUAAGAGAAUGCCACUUAUAUGAACAAAGUUGAUAUUUCGUAUUUUUGAUCAAUCAACAAAUUAGUCGUCAGUCUGCAUCGACUUGCAGACAGCAAGUAUCCUAUUCUUGAGUUCUACUCCUAUAUUGUACGGAUGCAGCUGAAAAUACUUUUAGCCACAAUGAGAUGAAGAUGCUGAUGUAUAAUCAGAUGCAUUAUCUAUGAACUUCUCGACCCCAUUGAUGUUGGAAAAUCAAUUAGACUUUCCAGGUCUUCUGUGUAAUUCCUUUUAACCAGCUUAGUUCUAUUUUCAUUUCUACCAACCUCUUUUCACGGAUUAUUGCUCUAUAUCAUCUCACGGCUUUAAGAUUUUACAUCAUUCACACGCUUUGCAAUAGAGCAUCUAAAAUUGCAUAUGAUCGUGUGCGUUUUGUUUUUCAGAAAUACAUGUCAGAUGAUCUUUGUACUGUUGAUGCAUUGGAUGGUUUGCUGGACACGCUGAAAGCAAAUACACCAGUUUGAAUGACUUGACCUUAAUGCUUCUCGAGUACUUCUUUUGAUCUUUUUUAAAGAACUGGAUGGAGCCAACAAUGAAAAUACUCAUGUAGUAGUAGUACCAACAAAUACUUCACCAGAUCAUAUUCCAUAAAUUUCUUUCUUGAAGAAUUAUAGACUGACCCAAAUUAAAUGAUGUAGUUAGCCAGUAUCUCCAGUGACCUUCCAUGAGAGAACUUAAAGAUACUUGAGUAGGUGUUAUAGGCUAGCCUCUUUGGUAAACUCCUGGCUGAAUUUCUUGAGAAGGCAUUGCUGUGUAAACAUGAAAGCUUACUUUGUCCGCAGGACCGAAACUACACUCACAGAAUUGGCUUCAGAUAUCUACAGAUAUCAGCUGCAGAUAUUCAGCGCUCAAGCUUCCCGCAGCUAUUGAUGCAGUUGCGGACACGUCUUAUUUAGCUUAGAUCAUCCGACUGCAACAUUAUGAAUGUUUUUUUGUUACCAGUUUGCUAUACGCUAUACUACAGAAGAUACACUAUAUAGAAGAUAGUUCCUUUUGUGUGCUCUCUGUUUAGCUGUAGUCAGCGUGCUGAGGACUAUCCUUUUUCUCAUCUGUCUUUGUACUAGGCAAACUGAACCUAAAAUUCAGAACAUCAUAUUUUUCCUUCAGCACAAGAAAAAGAAUCCAGA